GAUGAAGAACGCAGUGAAAUGCGAUAAGUAAUGCGAAUUGCAGAAUUUCCGUGAGUCAUCGAAUCUUUGAACGCACAUUGCGCCCCCUGGUAUUCCGGGGGGCAUGCCUGUUCGAGCGUCAUUUCACCACUCAAGCCUCGCUUGGUAUUGGGCAACGCGGUCCGCCGCGUGCCUCAAAUCGACCGGCUGGGUCUUCUGUCCCCUAAGCGUUGUGGAAACUAUUCGCUAAAGGGUGUUCGGGAGGCUACGCCGUAAAACAACCCCAUUUCUAAGGUUGACCUCGGAUCAGGUAGGGAUACCCGCUGAACUUAAGCAUAUCAAUAAGCGGAGGA
This 332-nucleotide unclassified non-coding RNA is filed under the name soil metagenome. Its description in RNAcentral is "partial contains 5.8S ribosomal RNA, internal transcribed spacer 2, and large subunit ribosomal RNA". The stretch from base 1 to 121 matches the Rfam family "5.8S ribosomal RNA", at positions 35 to 154 of the family's 154-position model. The record is from RNAcentral.